AUACGGAGGGUGCAAGCGUUAAUCGGAAUUACUGGGCGUAAAGCGUACGUAGGCGGUUAUUUAAGUCAGAUGUGAAAGCCCCGGGCUUAACUUGGGAACUGCAUUUGAAACUGGGUAACUAGAGUUUAGUAGAGGGGAGUGGAAUUUCAGGUGUAGCGGUGAAAUGCGUAGAGAUCUGAAGGAACACCAGUGGCGAAGGCGACUCCCUGGACUAAAACUGACGCUGAGGUACGAAAGCGUGGGUAGCAAACAGGAUUAGAUACCCGUGUAGUCC
RNAcentral lists this ribosomal RNA (274 nucleotides) under uncultured bacterium. Its description in RNAcentral is "partial 16S ribosomal RNA". It matches the Rfam family "Bacterial small subunit ribosomal RNA", at positions 523 to 796 of the family's 1533-position model. The record is from RNAcentral.